RNAcentral lists this ribosomal RNA (263 nucleotides) under uncultured bacterium. Its description in RNAcentral is "partial 16S ribosomal RNA". It matches the Rfam family "Bacterial small subunit ribosomal RNA", at positions 524 to 786 of the family's 1533-position model. The record is from RNAcentral.
UACGUAGGGAGCAAGCGUUGUCCGGAAUUACUGGGCGUAAAGGGUGCGUAGGCGGUUUGUCAAGUCGAAUGUGAAAUACCGGGGCUCAACCCCGGGGCUGCAUUCGAAACUGGCAGACUUGAGUGCAGGAGAGGAAAGCGGAAUUCCUAGUGUAGCGGUGAAAUGCGUAGAUAUUAGGAGGAACACCGGUGGCGAAGGCGGCUUUCUGGACUGUAACUGACGCUGAGGCACGAAAGCGUGGGGAGCAAACAGGAUUAGAUACC